UACGUAGGUGGCAAGCGUUAUCCGGAUUUAUUGGGCGUAAAGGGCGUGCAGCCGGAGAGACAAGUCAGAUGUGAAAUCCACGGGCUCAACCCGUGAACUGCAUUUGAAACUGUUUCCCUUGAGUGUCGGAGAGGUAAUCGGAAUUCCUUGUGUAGCGGUGAAAUGCGUAGAUAUAAGGAAGAACACCAGUGGCGAAGGCGGAUUACUGGACGAUAACUGACGGUGAGGCGCGAAAGCGUGGGGAGCAAACAGG
RNAcentral lists this ribosomal RNA (253 nucleotides) under uncultured bacterium. RNAcentral describes it as "partial 16S ribosomal RNA". It matches the Rfam family "Bacterial small subunit ribosomal RNA", at positions 524 to 776 of the family's 1533-position model. The record is from RNAcentral.